Molecule: ribosomal RNA, 1302 nt
Filed under: metagenome
Description: bacterial LSU rRNA
Rfam family: Bacterial large subunit ribosomal RNA
Source: RNAcentral
UACACGACCGUACCGCAAACCGACACUGGUGCGCGAGAUGAGUAUUCUAAGGCGCUUGAGAGAACUCAGGAGAAGGAACUCGGCAAAUUGACACCGUAACUUCGGAAGAAGGUGUGCCUUUAGUAGGUGAAGGGAUUUACUCCUGGAGCCCAAUGAGGUUGCAAAAAAUCGGUGGCUGCGACUGUUUAUUAAAAACACAGCACUCUGCAAACACGAAAGUGGACGUAUAGGGUGUGACGCCUGCCCGGUGCUGGAAGAUUAAAUGAUGGGGUGCAAGCUCUUGAUUGAAGUCCCAGUAAACGGCGGCCGUAACAAUAACGGUCCUAAGGUAGCGAAAUUCCUUGUCGGGUAAGUUCCGACCUGCACGAAUGGCGUAACGAUGGCCACACUGUCUCCUCCUGAGACUCAGCGAAGUUGAAAUGUUUGUGAUGAUGCAAUCUCCCCGCGGAAAGACGGAAGGACCCCAUGAACCUUUACUGUAGCUUUGUAUUGGACUUUGAACAGAUCUGUGUAGGAUAGGUGGGAUGCUUUGAAGCAGGGUCGCUAGAUCUUGUGGAGCCAACGUUGAAAUACCACCCUGGUGUGUUUGAGGUUCUAACCUAGGCCCGUAAUCCGGGUUGGGGACAGUGCAUGGUAGGCAGUUUGACUGGGGCGGUCUCCUCCCAAAGUGUAACGGAGGAGUUCGAAGGUACGCUAGUUACGGUCGGACAUCGUGGCGAUAGUGCAAUGGCAUAAGCGUGCUUAACUGCGAGACUGACAAGUCGAGCAGAUGCGAAAGCAGGACAUAGUGAUCCGGUGGUUCUGUAUGGAAGGGCCAUCGCUCAACGGAUAAAAGGUACUCUGGGGAUAACAGGCUGAUACCGCCCAAGAGUUCAUAUCGACGGCGGUGUUUGGCACCUCGAUGUCGGCUCAUCUCAUCCUGGGGCUGUAGCCGGUCCCAAGGGUAUGGCUGUUCGCCAUUUAAAGAGGUACGUGAGCUGGGUUUAAAACGUCGUGAGACAGUUUGGUCCCUAUCUUCCGUGGGCGCUGCAGAUUUGAGGAAACCUGCUCCUAGUACGAGAGGACCGGAGUGGACGCACCUCUGGUGUAUCGGUUGUCACGCCAGUGGCAUUGCCGAGUAGCUAUGUGCGGAAGAGAUAACCGCUGAAAGCAUCUAAGCGGGAAACUCGUUUCAAGAUGAGAUCUGCCGGGGCCUUGAGCCCCCUGAAGAGUCGUUCAAGACCAGGACGUUGAUAGGUCGGGUGUGGAAGCGCAGUAAUGCGUUAAGCUAACCGAUACUAAUUGCUCGUGCGGCUUGACCCU